Styela clava is the source of this 250-nucleotide non-coding RNA. Lineage: Eukaryota; Metazoa; Chordata; Ascidiacea; Stolidobranchia; Styelidae. The record is from RefSeq and is a predicted model, not a curated record.
AACCGUUUUUGUCGAACUUUAAGAAAUAUUUUUUCACAAUGAAAUUUCACACAGUGUUGUUGGCCGUUGCUAUUUUUGUUGGCGUCACAGAAGGAUGUUGGAAAUGCGGCAGAAGAAACAACAAUGCAGCGCAACAACAACAGAACCAACAACAACCGAAUAAUAACAACAACAACAACAACAACGGGAUUCCGCUUGUAGUAGUUCAUAGUCAGGGUAACAAUAACAAUGGCGGCAACAAUGACAUUGU